RNAcentral lists this ribosomal RNA (236 nucleotides) under uncultured bacterium. Its description in RNAcentral is "partial 16S ribosomal RNA". It matches the Rfam family "Bacterial small subunit ribosomal RNA", at positions 99 to 334 of the family's 1533-position model. The record is from RNAcentral.
CGGACGGGUGAGUAACGCGUGGGUAACCGUGCCUUGUACAGGGGGAUAACAGUUGGAAACGGCUGCUAAUACCGCAUAAGCGCACGGCAUCGCAUGAUGCAGUGUGAAAAACUCCGGUGGUAUAAGAUGGACCCGCGUUGGAUUAGCUAGUUGGUGAGGUAACGGCCCACCAAGGCGACGAUCCAUAGCCGACCUGAGAGGGUGACCGGCCACAUUGGGACUGAGACACGGCCCAA